This is a non-coding RNA of Vicugna pacos (alpaca), 408 nucleotides long. The record is from RefSeq and is a predicted model, not a curated record. NCBI's taxonomy places the organism in Eukaryota, Metazoa, Chordata, Mammalia, Artiodactyla, Camelidae.
AGCCGGAUGUCCUCGUAGGGCACCUCCUGGAAGAGCAGGGGCGUGGCCUGCUCCCACACACGGAAGGCCCGGCGCACUGCCUCCAGGGAGUGGUACCAGCCCAGCUUCUCUGUGUAGUUCUGGAUGCUGCAGAUGGAAGCUGUGUCUAUGAGGACAGCCUACAGGAGCCCCUCCAGGAUGUACUGCACUGCACUGGCUCCUCCAGGAUGGCCCUCUACCAUUACAGGCAGACUGCUGGGGACCCUACAGGGUUCAGAACCUCUUGAGUUCUCACCAACCAGCCAUCCUGCCAGAUUUUUCUGAGCCAGGCGCCAUGCCAGCUGGAGGCUGUGAAGGACUAUGGCUGAGGCAUCCUGACCUCAGGGCUUACAAUCUCCCUGGGGAGACCCAGUGUCCCCACAGAGUGAG